RNAcentral lists this ribosomal RNA (385 nucleotides) under uncultured eukaryote. RNAcentral describes it as "SSU rRNA". It matches the Rfam family "Eukaryotic small subunit ribosomal RNA", at positions 587 to 972 of the family's 1831-position model. The record is from RNAcentral.
AGCUCCAAUAGCGUAUAUUAAAGUUGUUGCAGUUAAAAAGCUCGUAGUUGGAUUUCUGGUGGGCGCGACCGGUCCGCCCCGAAAGGGGUGAGCACUGGCGUCGCCGUCCGCCAUCCUUGGGGAGAGACAUGCUGACAUUCACUUGCCGGUGUGUGGAUCCCCAUCGUUUACUGUGAGAAAAUUAGAGUGUUCAACGCAGGCUUACGCCUUGAAUACAUUAGCAUGGAAUAAUAGUCGAGGCUCUUGGUCUGACUUGUUGGUUUGCAGCCCGAGAGAAUGAUUCAAUAGGGAUAGUUGGGGGUAUUCGUAUUCAAUUGUCAGAGGUGAAAUUCUUGGAUUUAUGGAAGACGAACUACUGCGAAAGCAUUUACCAAGGAUGUUUUCA